GGCGGGUUGCCCGAGCGGCCAAUGGGAGCGGACUGUAAAUCCGUCGCGAAAGCUACCCAGGUUCGAAUCCUGGACCCGCCA
Molecule: transfer RNA, 81 nt
Filed under: Actinoplanes sp.
Lineage: Bacteria; Bacillati; Actinomycetota; Actinomycetes; Micromonosporales; Micromonosporaceae
Also listed under: 8 other names
Description: tRNA-Tyr
Rfam family: tRNA
About the family: Transfer RNA (tRNA) molecules are approximately 80 nucleotides in length. Their secondary structure includes four short double-helical elements and three loops (D, anti-codon, and T loops). Further hydrogen bonds mediate the characteristic L-shaped molecular structure. tRNAs have two regions of fundamental functional importance: the anti-codon, which is responsible for specific mRNA codon recognition, and the 3' end, to which the tRNAs corresponding amino acid is attached (by aminoacyl-tRNA synthetases). tRNAs cope with the degeneracy of the genetic code in two manners: having more than one tRNA (with a specific anti-codon) for a particular amino acid; and 'wobble' base-pairing, i.e. permitting non-standard base-pairing at the 3rd anti-codon position.
Source: RNAcentral